RNAcentral lists this ribosomal RNA (497 nucleotides) under uncultured bacterium. RNAcentral describes it as "partial 16S ribosomal RNA". It matches the Rfam family "Bacterial small subunit ribosomal RNA", at positions 28 to 507 of the family's 1533-position model. The record is from RNAcentral.
GAUGAACGCUGGCGGCGUGCCUAAUACAUGCAAGUCGAGCGAACAGACGAGGAGCUUGCUCCUCUGACGUUAGCGGCGGACGGGUGAGUAACACGUGGAUAACCUACCUAUAAGACUGGGAUAACUUCGGGAAACCGGAGCUAAUACCGGAUAAUAUAUUGAACCGCAUUGUUCAAUAGUGAAAGACGGUUUUGCUGUCACUUAUAGAUGGAUCCGCGCCGCAUUAGCUAGUUGGUAAGGUAACGGCUUACCAAGGCUACGAUGCGUAGCCGACCUGAGAGGGUGAUCGGCCACACUGGAACUGAGACACGGUCCAGACUCCUACGGGAGGCAGCAGUAGGGAAUUUUCCGCAAUAGGCGAAAGCAUGACGGAGCGACGCCGCGUGAGUGAUGAAGGUCUUCGGAUCGUAAAACUCUGUUAUUAGGGAAGAACAAAUGUGUAAGUAAAUAUGCACGUCUUGACGGUACCUAAUCAGAAAGCCACGGCUAACUACGUG